RNAcentral lists this ribosomal RNA (661 nucleotides) under uncultured bacterium. RNAcentral's name for it is "bacterial SSU rRNA". It matches the Rfam family "Bacterial small subunit ribosomal RNA", at positions 51 to 702 of the family's 1533-position model. The record is from RNAcentral.
ACACAUGCAGUCGAGCGGCAGCACAGAGGAACUUGUUCCUUGGGUGGCGAGCGGCGGACGGGUGAGUAAUGCCUAGGAAAUUGCCCUGAUGUGGGGGAUAACCAUUGGAAACGAUGGCUAAUACCGCAUGAUGCCUACGGGCCAAAGAGGGGGACCUUCGGGCCUCUCGCGUCAGGAUAUGCCUAGGUGGGAUUAGCUAGUUGGUGAGGUAAUGGCUCACCAAGGCGACGAUCCCUAGCUGGUCUGAGAGGAUGAUCAGCCACACUGGAACUGAGACACGGUCCAGACUCCUACGGGAGGCAGCAGUGGGGAAUAUUGCACAAUGGGCGCAAGCCUGAUGCAGCCAUGCCGCGUGUAUGAAGAAGGCCUUCGGGUUGUAAAGUACUUUCAGUCGUGAGGAAGGUGGUGUUGUUAAUAGCAGCAUUAUUUGACGUUAGCGACAGAAGAAGCACCGGCUAACUCCGUGCCAGCAGCCGCGGUAAUACGGAGGGUGCGAGCGUUAAUCGGAAUUACUGGGCGUAAAGCGCAUGCAGGUGGUGGAUUAAGUCAGAUGUGAAAGCCCGGGGCUCAACCUCGGAACCGCAUUUGACACUGGUUCACUAGAGUACUGUAGAAGGGGGUAGAAUUUCAUGUGUAGCGGUGAAAUGCGUAGAGAUCUGAA